This 115-nucleotide ribosomal RNA is filed under the name Jaculus jaculus (lesser Egyptian jerboa). Lineage: Eukaryota; Metazoa; Chordata; Mammalia; Rodentia; Dipodidae. The record is from RNAcentral.
AUCAACGGCCAUACCACCCAGAAUGCACCCCAUUUCAUCUGAUCUGGGAAGCAAAGCAGGGUUGGGCCUGGUUAGUACUUGGAUAGGAUAUUAUUUAAAAAGUAGUUUUUUCAUA